This 253-nucleotide ribosomal RNA is filed under the name uncultured bacterium. RNAcentral describes it as "partial 16S ribosomal RNA". It matches the Rfam family "Bacterial small subunit ribosomal RNA", at positions 524 to 776 of the family's 1533-position model. The record is from RNAcentral.
UACGUAGGGACCAAGCGUUGUUCGGAUUUACUGGGCGUAAAGGGCGCGUAGGCGGCGCGGUAAGUCACUUGUGAAAUCUCUGAGCUUAACUCAGAACGGCCAAGUGAUACUGCAGUGCUAGAGUGUGGAAGGGGCAAUCGGAAUUCUUGGUGUAGCGGUGAAAUGCGUAGAUAUCAAGAGGAACACCUGAGGUGAAGACGGGUUGCUGGGCCAAUACUGACGCUGAGGCGCGAAAGCCAGGGGAGCAAACGGG